UCCUUGGACUUUGGACUUCUCAGCCUCCAAAACUCCCAGUGCCAGCAAGAAAGCAGUCCUGUCUCGGGAAGUCACAUCAUCUCGCCAAGCCUCCACUCGCUCUUCUGUGAGUGUAGGAGUGUAUUAAUACCUAACUUGCUGAUAGCACUACCAUGAAGAGUGACAGAGGUCAUGCGAGAGUGCUCUCCCAGGGCUUGCCAUAGGAUGGGGGACUUGAGGCUUUCCCCUUCCCUUCCUCCCACCUCCCUCUCUCCCUUAUGUGUCAUCAACAUGAGAUGAAACUGAUGCUGCCACCACUAGGUCUUGUCUCCUGGGUGGUGAUGUCAAGGCUGGUGAUUGGGAAUUGGAGCCCAUCACUCCUUCCGGACAGAAGUUCACCCCUGGAGAAGUUGGGUGACUGUGCUGCUUCUCACACGCCCCCCACCCACUACAUCAACCUGACUGAAGAAAGAGCUUAUGUGCAGGUUAAGUUGCUCCCUGCUUUUGCCUAGUUUGCAAAAUAUUACAUUUCCUUAGCUCUAGAGGAACAGAAAGAUCAACCCUUUUACUAUGAAAAUAACUUGAGCUGUCAAUUUCCAUUAUAAUGUGUCUUAAAUGACCUCCUUACCUUCUGAAUUCCUUACUUAGUCUUUGGAUCUCAGUGUCCUCAUUUAAAAUGGAGAUGAUAGUAUUUACUUCCACCCGGCUGUCUGAGGACCAAAUGGGGGCUUUCUAAACCAUUAAACUUAUUCUAAUGUUUAA
Molecule: long non-coding RNA, 741 nt
Organism: Galeopterus variegatus (Sunda flying lemur)
Lineage: Eukaryota; Metazoa; Chordata; Mammalia; Dermoptera; Cynocephalidae
Exons: 2
Source: RefSeq, a predicted model, not a curated record